AUUGAACGCUGGCGGCAGGCUUAACACAUGCAAGUCGAGCGGGGGAAGGUAGCUUGCUACUGGACCUAGCGGCGGACGGGUGAGUAAUGCUUAGGAAUCUGCCUAUUAGUGGGGGACAACAUCUCGAAAGGGAUGCUAAUACCGCAUACGUCCUACGGGAGAAAGCAGGGGAUCUUCGGACCUUGCGCUAAUAGAUGAGCCUAAGUCGGAUUAGCUAGUUGGUGGGGUAAAGGCCUACCAAGGCGACGAUCUGUAGCGGGUCUGAGAGGAUGAUCCGCCACACUGGGACUGAGACACGGCCCAGACUCCUACGGGAGGCAGCAGUGGGGAAUAUUGGACAAUGGGGGGAACCCUGAUCCAGCCAUGCCGCGUGUGUGAAGAAGGCCUUAUGGUUGUAAAGCACUUUAAGCGAGGAGGAGGCUACUCUAGUUAAUACCUAGGGAUAGUGGACGUUACUCGCAGAAUAAGCACCGGCUAACUCUGUGCCAGCAGCCGCCGCAG
This 501-nucleotide ribosomal RNA is filed under the name uncultured bacterium. Its description in RNAcentral is "partial 16S ribosomal RNA". It matches the Rfam family "Bacterial small subunit ribosomal RNA", at positions 30 to 523 of the family's 1533-position model. The record is from RNAcentral.